AUUGAACGCUGGCGGCAUGCCUUACACAUGCAAGUCGAACGGCAGGCAUGACGUGUAGCAAUGCACGUUGAUGGCGAGUGGCGAACGGGUGAGUAAUAUAUCGGAACGUGCCCUGUAGCGGGGGAUAACCUAUCGAAAGAUGGACUAAUACCGCGAUACGCUCUACGGAGGAAAGCGGGGGUACGCAAGACCUCGCACUAUAGGAGCGGCCGANAUCGGAUUAGCUAGUUGCGGGUAAAGCCACCAAGGCGACGAUCCGUAGCUGGUCUGAGAGGAUGAUCAGCCACACUGGAACUGAGACACGGUCCAGACUCCUACGGGAGCAGCAGUGGGAAUUUGGACAAUGGGCGCAAGCCUGAUCCAGCCAUGCCGCGUGAGUGAAGAG
Molecule: ribosomal RNA, 385 nt
Filed under: uncultured bacterium
Lineage: Bacteria
Description: bacterial SSU rRNA
Rfam family: Bacterial small subunit ribosomal RNA
Source: RNAcentral